CCCAUUUUUCGAAUUCUGCUUAAUUUGGUUGGAAAUUCGUAAUUGUGCUAAUUUGGGUUUUCUGAGCUGAUUAAGUGUAUUUUGGUUGCAGGGAAAUUUUGGGAAACAUCAUUUGGAGAAUUAGGGAUGGUGGGAUGAUCAUUCAAGACUCAACAUUUAGUCAUUUCCAUUUUAAUAAAGUUGUAAUUUCGUUUUUUUUAGAAACCUUAAUUAGAUUAGGUGUUUUUGGGCCCUUUUAGUGGAAAUUUUGUAGAAGCCCAAUGUGUGGGACACUUGGCACCAAAACCCUAGGGUUUUAGGAGGUGGACCCCACCUAUUUUGAGGUUGGAAAGAAUUUUGAGUAGCAAUUGCCAAGACAAAAACUCUAGCACACUUCAUACUACAUUUUGCUUUGGCUUUGCAUGUAUGAACUCUCUCUUGGGAGCCUUUGGUGUGCCCUUUUCAUUUUUGAGCUUGAACGGACCAAGAUCACGUUUUUCUUCUUCUAUUGGUUUCAAGAAUGUUUGUUCUUGCUUGAUGGAAUGAAGCUCUACCAUUUCUCUCUUUAGAUUUUCGUUUUGAAGGUUGAAUGCUUGGGUUUGAAGCUUUUUCUUUGCUUUUUCAUGGUGGUUUCUUUGGUGGAAGGGAGACCCAUUGUCCAUUUCGGUUUUAUCAUCAUUUUGCUGCAGUAAUCUCGUUUUUACCUUGAGUUUCUUGGAUUGGAGGAUGAAAAUGGAGUUGUUGUCAAGUUUGGUAGUGAAAAAAACUUAAGUUGGUGCAUGGGUAUUGUAGUCUUGAGCCAUU
RNAcentral lists this long non-coding RNA (783 nucleotides) under Vigna radiata. RNAcentral's name for it is "long non-coding RNA (VRAD_LNC018507)". The record is from RNAcentral. Lineage: Eukaryota; Viridiplantae; Streptophyta; Magnoliopsida; Fabales; Fabaceae.